This is a long non-coding RNA of Sander lucioperca (pikeperch), 1272 nucleotides long. RefSeq lists it as uncharacterized. The record is from RefSeq and is a predicted model, not a curated record. NCBI's taxonomy places the organism in Eukaryota, Metazoa, Chordata, Actinopteri, Perciformes, Percidae. The transcript is spliced from 4 exons.
AAUACAAUUAUCCUGUGAAUAAUAUUACAGUAAUUUUGAGCGGGAUCUAUCGGACUUCCACAGUCAAGCCACGCAGCCGGAAAGUUCUUCAGAGAUUGCACUAGAGUAUGUUCCACUAGAGAUAACGACACUACAGGCUGUUUGAAAGACAACACCGACUCAGGUAAUUUUCACACAACACAGUUGAAAACUAGUCAUGGGGUUUAAGUGCAAGCACUGUUUUGUCUCUACAGACACAAUCCCUAGCUGCAUAAAACACGUGAAAGUGCAUAGAAACCGUGCAAAUGUAAAUUUUCCUUGUGGUGUUGCAAAAUGUCCUUGUAACCUUAAGUCAGUGUGCGCAUUACAGAAUCACAUGUACAACAAGCAUGUCUUGCCUUAUAGUUGCAUACUUUCUAACAACGUUUUGUGUUUAUUAUACUGCUGAAGCACAGAUUUCCCUGCCUAGCACUCCGAGGCUAAUCAUGCUUGGAGGCAGCCAAGUCCCUUGAAUUUGUCCAACGCUUUUUUGUCCGGAUAAAUCCAGAACAGAGUAAAUGUGCUGCUAAAUUCCAGACCAGCAAGAGCACGGGAAAGAAGGUUCAAUGGAAAAAUCAGUCCCUGAAUCAACAUGUCUCCGCUCUAAUCCAGGACUUCAUUGAAUAUGACUGGCAGAAUACCUAGAGCAUGCCGGUAAAGAAGACGUCCACUCCACUCAGGCUCCAUUUCCAUACACACACACAUUGAUAGAUGCUGGGGUGGAGUUCUUGUUCUUGUGGUAGGACUUCACUACAACAUAUGCGCACAUUCUCUCUCUCUCUCUUUGUCUCUCUCUCUCUCUCCAUGUCUCUCUCUCUCCAUGUCUCUCUCUCUCUCACUCACUCACUCACUCACUCACUCACUCACUCACUCACACACACACACACAUUGACUCUCUUACACACAUGUAUUUGCCCACAUGGAUUCUCUAUCCCUUCCUCUCUGACUAGCACAUCACACAUGUACACGCACAGAGACAUGGACACAAACACACACACUACUCUGUCACACAUGCAUGUUCUCUCUCUACCUCCCUCGCACAUACUUCUGUCUAACUACAACAUGUAUAUGAUAUGUUGGGUUUUACUGUUUGUUUUUACUAAUACUAGUAGAGUAUGAUACAUUGAUAGACCAUGCUUUUCAUAUCUAUGUCUAUAUGUCAUAUCCUGUAUAUCUGAGAAUGUGAACGGUUGGAUGAAGUUUUACUGUUUGUUUUUAUGAAUUCUAAUAGUUGAAUAAAGUUUUUAAACCUCA